UUAACUGGGAUUAGAUACCCCACUAUGCCUAGCCAUAAACAUAGAUAAUCACGUACUUUUUUAUCCGCCCGGGUACUACGAGCAUCAGCUUWAAACCCAAAGGACUUGGCGGUGCUUUAGAUCCACCUAGAGGAGCCUGUUCUAGAACCGAUAAUCCCCGUUAAACCUCACCUUUCCUUGCCUAGUCCGCCUAUAUACCGCCGUCGUCAGCUUACUCUGUGAAGAAUUUGUAGUAAGCACAAUCGGCACAGCCCAAAACGUCAGGUCGAGGUGUAGCGUAUGGAAAGGGAAGAAAUGGGCUACAUUCAAUAGCAAUAGUGAACACGAAUAAUGUUUUGAAAGAGACAAUUGAAGGAGGAUUUAGUAGUAAGCAUGGGAAUAGAGCGCCCUGCUGAAACCGGCCCUGAAGCGCGCACACACCGCCCGUCACUCUCCCCAAGCUAACACAAGCUAWUCACUAAUAAGUAAUAACUGUAAAGGGGAGGCAAGUCGUAACAUGGUAAGCGUACCGGAAGGUGCGCUUGGAAGAACUCAGAGCAUAGCUAAACAACGUAUAGCAUCUCCCUUACACUGAGAAGAUAUUCGUGCAACCCGAAUUGCCCUGAAGCCCAAUAGCUAGCCCAACCCCUUAAAACAAMACAMCCCCUAUCUAUAMCCCYUCACGGAUUAGACAACAAAAAACAAACCAUUUUACCCUCUUAGUAUGGGAGACAGAAAAGAGAACCUGGCGCCAUAAAGAAAGUACCGCAAGGGAAAGCUGAAAAAGAAAUGAAAUAAUUCAGUUUAAAGCUUAGAAAAGCAGAGACUAAACCUCGUACCUUUUGCAUAUGG
RNAcentral lists this ribosomal RNA (831 nucleotides) under Anampses neoguinaicus (New Guinea wrasse). RNAcentral describes it as "partial 12S ribosomal RNA". The stretch from base 1 to 537 matches the Rfam family "Bacterial small subunit ribosomal RNA", at positions 768 to 1533 of the family's 1533-position model. The record is from RNAcentral. Lineage: Eukaryota; Metazoa; Chordata; Actinopteri; Labriformes; Labridae.